Bos taurus (domestic cattle) is the source of this 683-nucleotide long non-coding RNA. Lineage: Eukaryota; Metazoa; Chordata; Mammalia; Artiodactyla; Bovidae. The record is from Ensembl.
GCAUAUUCUGUUUUCCGUUGGCGUCCAUGAAAGAGUAACAGGCUCCAGUCCCUUCACGUGUCCUGAAACUACUCACCUAUCUAAGAAUCUCAGCAUUAUUGGCAUAACUCCACCUCCCUGUGCCUUUCCUCUCACGGAAGGAAGCUGAAAGAAGGGAUGAGUCAUGAGAAGCACAUACAGAGCUGGCCUGUCAGUGGAGCCAUUACUGCUGAGAAUGACCAGAACGUGGGGCUCAAGAACAUCACCCUGUGAUAGAAGGUGGAGCCAAAAAGCUACUGCCCUCACAGCUGCCGUAAACCGCCUCUUGUCUUCCAGGAGGCUGGGAGUGCAGGAGACGCGGGUGCGAUCUUGGGUGAGGAAGAUCCCUGGAGGAGGAAAUGGCAACCCGCUCCAGUGUUCUUGCCUGGAGAAGCCCAUGGACGGAGGAGCCUGGCGGGCUACAGUGCACUGGAUCGCAAAGAGUCAGGUAAGACUUGGCGACCAGACAACAACAGCAAAUAAAAGUCUGACCGGUGUCCUUAGGAGGAGGGUGUCAGGACACGCAGAGACGCCAGGAGCCCCGGCUGUCCAUACAGAGCAGCAGCCGGGCAGCCGGGCCUGGAGGCCUCGGAGGAGGGCAGCAUCGCUGGCUCCUUGGUCUUGGACUGCCACCCUCCAGAUCUGUGAGAAAAGAAACUUCUGUG